GGUGCCUGUUGGGAUUCAGACACCGCAUAAAACGCUGGAGGUGCCAGCAAAAUGGACACGGCAAUUGGCUACGCAGUCGUCUUCCAGCAGAACUGCCCAGGAGGGCCCACGGAAAAUGGAGCGGCUUUUAUCCCACUCACUGGGCACUGAAUCUCUGGAAGGGGAUUCCACACUUUCUGGACUUGGGUUGAUCUUUUUGCACUGUCCCACCCCGAUGGAAAGGGAAAAAAGGUAUUGGACUUGGUGGCAGCGACCUGGGGGUAUUUUCUCCCUUGAGGUUGUGAGUCCGUCGGUUUGGCUGUGCUCGCUGCAUUCCUGUUCUUUGGCCCUGUGUGAGACAGUUCUGGAAAACUCUUAUUUGACCACAACUGGAAAAGAAAGAGAGAAAAAAACACCCCCAGCCAAAACCCACAGAUCAAAUUUGUAGGAUGAGUUUGAACCGCAGAGCUCAGUCUUUCACUCUGACAGUCUGCAUGAUCUCAGCACAGAGAUCCCACAAACAGCAGAGGGAAGUGCCUGGGGAGCUGAGCUCCUGCUUCCAUCACCCAGCCCGAGCCAGCAGGCGAUAGCAGUCUGACCAGGAGAGCAAUGAACGCAGCAAGCCAAAUCCCUGAAGGAACUAUGGGAUUUAUUCACUUUGGCUGCUUGGAAAAGCUGUUUCCAGAACUUUACUCAACACCUUCCUUCAACCUCAGAACACCUCCUUGGGUAAACAUAAUCACCUUCCAGGCCUGGGCCUUACACAGAACGAGAUCACUCCACACAGGGAUGAUAUUUAGCGCAGAUCACGGUUUAAAACGCCAUCAGAAAUAUCUGUAAGGUCAUUCAUGUUUCAGCUUUGCCACCAGCCCCGAGGUGAGGACACCCCAGCAUGGAUCUGUGAUGCAUACCAGAACAUUCGUGCAAGAAGAAGGAACAAUGGCCCAGCUCCAUUUCUUGUGUAGUCUGCAACUUCCUAGCGCGUCUGACACGCUGGGAACCCACGCGCAACACGGUGAUGGAAAACUUGGAGACCGAAUGGAAGUGAAGAAAAGUCCUUGGUGUAAUUUUACAGCGUGUGAAAGACUUAAAGCAAGAAACACAGCCAGAUGCCACAAGGAAAGUACUUUCAAUUAGUUCUGCUUUGUGUUAUACCUACUGAUGAAAAAUAAAAACAAAUUCAUUCUGUCA
Molecule: long non-coding RNA, 1170 nt
Filed under: Manacus vitellinus (golden-collared manakin)
Lineage: Eukaryota; Metazoa; Chordata; Aves; Passeriformes; Pipridae
Description: lncRNA (ENSMVIG00005009339.1)
Source: RNAcentral